RNAcentral lists this ribosomal RNA (495 nucleotides) under uncultured bacterium. RNAcentral's name for it is "partial 16S ribosomal RNA". It matches the Rfam family "Bacterial small subunit ribosomal RNA", at positions 28 to 507 of the family's 1533-position model. The record is from RNAcentral.
GACGAACGCUGGCGGCGUGCCUAAUACAUGCAAGUAGAACGCUGAAGGAGGAGCUUGCUUCUCUGGACGAGUUGCGAACGGGUGAGUAACGCGUAGGUAACCUGCCUGGUAGCGGGUGAUAACUAUUGGAAACGAUAGCUAAUACCGCAUAAUAGUAGAUGUUGCAUGACAUUUGCUUAAAAGAUGCAAUUUCAUUCCUACCAGAUGGCCCUGCGUUGUAUUAGCUAGUUGGUGAGGUAACGGCUCACCAAGGCGACGAUACAUAGCCGACCUGAGAGGGUGAUCGGCCACACUGGGACUGAGACACGGCCCAGACUCCUACGGGAGGCAGCAGUAGGGAAUCUUCGGCAAUGGACGGAAGUCUGACCGAGCAACGCCGCGUGAGUGAAGAAGGUUUUCGGAUCGGAAAGCUCUGUUGUAAGAGAAGAACGAGUGUGAGAGUGGAAAGUUCACACUGUGACGGUAUCUUACCAGAAAGGGACGGCUAACUACGUG